UACGAAGGGGGCUAGCGUUGUUCGGAAUCACUGGGCGUAAAGGGCGCGUAGGCGGCUUUAUAAGUCGGGGGUGAAAGCCUGUGGCUCAACCACAGAAUUGCCCUUCGAUACUGUAGAGCUUGAGACCGGAAGAGGUAAGUGGAACUGCGAGUGUAGAGGUGAAAUUCGUAGAUAUUCGCAAGAACACCAGUGGCGAAGGCGGCUUACUGGUCCGGUUCUGACGCUGAGGCGCGAAAGCGUGGGGAGCAAACAGG
RNAcentral lists this ribosomal RNA (254 nucleotides) under uncultured bacterium. RNAcentral describes it as "partial 16S ribosomal RNA". It matches the Rfam family "Bacterial small subunit ribosomal RNA", at positions 524 to 776 of the family's 1533-position model. The record is from RNAcentral.